CCCAACGGCCACAUAGUAUACCUGUUAGAGGAAAGAGGGAUCCCGGAAAAGAGUUGCCGUCAUCAUCGAUAAACAAUGGUGUAAAAUUUGUAGACCACUGAGAGGAGAUCGAUGAAGUGAAACAUUCGACGACAUUGUCCCUUGACUGAGAGGAGAUCGACGAAGUGAAACAUCCGACGGCAUUGUCCGUUAUAUCGGAUUUUGGAGGCGCUUAGAGGGUCUCUUGGAUCUGGAGGAAGCGUGAUUAGGAACAACUGGAACCAAAGGUAUAAGGGAACUAGGAAAUGCUUGUCAACUUCUACAACCACAAGCAACGGACGCAAUCGACAUCAAUUUAUUGUAAUAAGGAAGAAGGGUGAUUGUGAAGAACUUGUUGCAGGGAACUGGUUGUCCACUUAUAUAAGACAAGCAAAGGUCGCAACAGACCCAGUUUAAUUUUUGUAGGAUUAAGGGUGAUUGUGAAGAACUGAAACUGAAGGAAGCAUAUACGAGAAUUUUGAAGCAAGAGAUUUGGUGGUGUUGAUGCAAAUUGUUCAAGUGAGCUGAGGUGCUGAAACUGAUAGCACUCCAUAUCACAGAUGGCUAACAUGGACACAAACGAAGGGGGCCUUCGGUACAGUGACCAUAUUUAUCAUGAUUGUUCAUCAUCGGACGAUGAAUCAGAAGAUGAAAUGUCUAUUCGGUUUGGUAAAUGCACUAAGGUAACAGCGCGUACAAAGGAGGCAACUGACGGUAUAAUACCUGCUGAAUCAGGUGAAUUGAGGAAAUCAUGAGGCGUAGUUGAAGAGGAGGAAACAUUACCUGAGUGCGCUUUUCCAAGAAGAGAAUAUGUGAACCACACGGGGUCGGCACAACUGAAUGGGAUGAACUUCGAAGACCUCACAACGGAUGAUAUGAUGGGGGUAUACUUCCCAACUAUAGAAGAGGCAGAAAAGUUCUACUCGUUGUACUCAUGAAUACUUGGUUUCAGCGUAAGGAGGGACAGAGUGCAGAAGGAAGGCAAUGGUUUGGUGGUAAGGAGGCAGUGGGUCUAUUCAAAACAAAGAUUGGCAAGUAUCAAAACCGUAUAUCUAUUUAAACAAACAAAUGAAUUUUUACUUUUUGAUCAUGUCAAUA
Molecule: long non-coding RNA, 1116 nt
Organism: Rosa chinensis
Lineage: Eukaryota; Viridiplantae; Streptophyta; Magnoliopsida; Rosales; Rosaceae
Exons: 5
Source: RefSeq, a predicted model, not a curated record